Dermatophagoides farinae (American house dust mite) is the source of this 601-nucleotide non-coding RNA. Lineage: Eukaryota; Metazoa; Arthropoda; Arachnida; Sarcoptiformes; Pyroglyphidae. The record is from RefSeq and is a predicted model, not a curated record.
CGUUCAUCAAGUUAAUUUAUAAAUUCAUUAUAUCACCAUCAAGAGUUAAUUUAGUAUUUAGUGUGAAUCAAGUGUGUGUGUUUAUCUGAUGCCAUUGCCUCAAACAUGGUCGGGCUUAACAUUAUUAUUACCCACUAGUAUACAUUUGAUGGGCUGUCUGAUGUUAGUUGAAAUGUUUAUCUAUUUUUAUUCCUCUCUUUAUUCCAUUGGCAUAUUACUAAAAUUGAACAGCUGUUAUCAUCAUCAUCAUCAUCAUCACGAUUUCGUAAAUAUAAUGCUCGUUUACUGUUUGUCUGUUUUUUUUUGUUGGUGGGGGUGAGCUCCAAUGACAAACCGGGAUUCUGUAAAUGUAUCUUUUUCUAUAUAUACCCGUGUGUAUGUACUGGUAACGAUUCCUAAGUCCUAAAGAAAAUGUUCAAACUAUAUCAAAUUAACACUAAAGGGAAAAAAAGAGGAAACUUAUGGGAAUAGAUAGACUUCCUGAACCUAUUAUAUGAUAGAUCAUCAAACCAAAGAAAAACUUUAUUCAAUUCUUCAACGAAUGACUACGACAACGACGACUAAUAGUUAAAGGUUUUUAUAUAAAUCACUGUUUAGUCAA